UGGGGAAUAUUGCACAAUGGGGGAAACCCUGAUGCAGCGACGCCGCGUGAACGAAGAAGGUAUUCGUAUCGUAAAGUUCUGUCCUAUGGGAAGAUAAUGACAGUACCAUAGAAGAAAGCUCCGGCUAAAUACGUGCCAGCAGCCGCGGUAAUACGUAUGGAGCGAGCGUUGUCCGGAAUUAUUGGGCGUAAAGGGUACGCAGGCGGUUUAAUAAGUCGAAUGUUAAAGAUCGGGGCUCAACCCCGUAAAGCAUUGGAAACUGAUAAACUUGAGGAGUGGAGAGGAAAGUGGAAUUCCUAGUGUAGUUGUGAAAUACGUAGAUAUUAGGAAGAAUACCAGUAGCGAAGGCGACUUUCUGGACACAAACUGACGCUGAGGUACGAAAGCGUGGGGAGCAAACAGG
This 403-nucleotide ribosomal RNA is filed under the name bacterium. RNAcentral's name for it is "partial 16S ribosomal RNA". It matches the Rfam family "Bacterial small subunit ribosomal RNA", at positions 355 to 776 of the family's 1533-position model. The record is from RNAcentral.